AGCUCCAAUAGCGUAUACUAAAUUUGCUGCAGUUAAAACGCUCGUAGUUGAAUUGAGAUUUGUCAAAAAAGAUCAAAACAAUUUUUGAACUUUUUUUACAAUUCCCUUUUAAGAUUCUGUGACUGGUAUUAAUUUAUUGGUUUCAUCAAUCUUAAACCUUUACUGUGAAUAAACUAGAGUGUUCAAAGCAGGCAAUUUGUCAUUGACAAAGAAUAGCCUGAAUACGUUAGCAUGGAAUAAUAAGAUAAGACCAUGGUUUGAGGUCUUCGGAUUUCAUACUUGUCUUGUUGGUUUGCUGCUAACCAUGGUAAUGAUUAAUAGGGACAGUUGGGGGUAUUCGUAUUCCAUAGUCAGAGGUGAAAUUCUUGGAUUUAUGGAAGACGAACUACUGCGAAAGCAU
Molecule: ribosomal RNA, 400 nt
Filed under: phytoplankton environmental sample
Lineage: Eukaryota
Description: partial small subunit ribosomal RNA
Rfam family: Eukaryotic small subunit ribosomal RNA
Source: RNAcentral